RNAcentral lists this ribosomal RNA (1677 nucleotides) under Escherichia coli. RNAcentral describes it as "bacterial LSU rRNA". It matches the Rfam family "Bacterial large subunit ribosomal RNA", at positions 1270 to 2925 of the family's 2925-position model. The record is from RNAcentral. Lineage: Bacteria; Pseudomonadati; Pseudomonadota; Gammaproteobacteria; Enterobacterales; Enterobacteriaceae.
AUGCUGGAGGUAUCAGAAGUGCGAAUGCUGACAUAAGUAACGAUAAAGCGGGUGAAAAGCCCGCUCGCCGGAAGACCAAGGGUUCCUGUCCAACGUUAAUCGGGGCAGGGUGAGUCGACCCCUAAGGCGAGGCCGAAAGGCGUAGUCGAUGGGAAACAGGUUAAUAUUCCUGUACUUGGUGUUACUGCGAAGGGGGGACGGAGAAGGCUAUGUUGGCCGGGCGACGGUUGUCCCGGUUUAAGCGUGUAGGCUGGUUUUCCAGGCAAAUCCGGAAAAUCAAGGCUGAGGCGUGAUGACGAGGCACUACGGUGCUGAAGCAACAAAUGCCCUGCUUCCAGGAAAAGCCUCUAAGCAUCAGGUAACAUCAAAUCGUACCCCAAACCGACACAGGUGGUCAGGUAGAGAAUACCAAGGCGCUUGAGAGAACUCGGGUGAAGGAACUAGGCAAAAUGGUGCCGUAACUUCGGGAGAAGGCACGCUGAUAUGUAGGUGAAGUCCCUCGCGGAUGGAGCUGAAAUCAGUCGAAGAUACCAGCUGGCUGCAACUGUUUAUUAAAAACACAGCACUGUGCAAACACGAAAGUGGACGUAUACGGUGUGACGCCUGCCCGGUGCCGGAAGGUUAAUUGAUGGGGUUAGCGGUAACGCGAAGCUCUUGAUCGAAGCCCCGGUAAACGGCGGCCGUAACUAUAACGGUCCUAAGGUAGCGAAAUUCCUUGUCGGGUAAGUUCCGACCUGCACGAAUGGCGUAAUGAUGGCCAGGCUGUCUCCACCCGAGACUCAGUGAAAUUGAACUCGCUGUGAAGAUGCAGUGUACCCGCGGCAAGACGGAAAGACCCCGUGAACCUUUACUAUAGCUUGACACUGAACAUUGAGCCUUGAUGUGUAGGAUAGGUGGGAGGCUUUGAAGUGUGGACGCCAGUCUGCAUGGAGCCGACCUUGAAAUACCACCCUUUAAUGUUUGAUGUUCUAACGUUGGCCCCUAAUCGGGGUUGCGGACAGUGUCUGGUGGGUAGUUUGACUGGGGCGGUCUCCUCCUAAAGAGUAACGGAGGAGCACGAAGGUUGGCUAAUCCUGGUCGGACAUCAGGAGGUUAGUGCAAUGGCAUAAGCCAGCUUGACUGCGAGCGUGACGGCGCGAGCAGGUGCGAAAGCAGGUCAUAGUGAUCCGGUGGUUCUGAAUGGAAGGGCCAUCGCUCAACGGAUAAAAGGUACUCCGGGGAUAACAGGCUGAUACCGCCCAAGAGUUCAUAUCGACGGCGGUGUUUGGCACCUCGAUGUCGGCUCAUCACAUCCUGGGGCUGAAGUAGGUCCCAAGGGUAUGGCUGUUCGCCAUUUAAAGUGGUACGCGAGCUGGGUUUAGAACGUCGUGAGACAGUUCGGUCCCUAUCUGCCGUGGGCGCUGGAGAACUGAGGGGGGCUGCUCCUAGUACGAGAGGACCGGAGUGGACGCAUCACUGGUGUUCGGGUUGUCAUGCCAAUGGCACUGCCCGGUAGCUAAAUGCGGAAGAGAUAAGUGCUGAAAGCAUCUAAGCACGAAACUUGCCCCGAGAUGAGUUCUCCCUGACUCCCUGAGAGUCCUGAAGGAACGUUGAAGACGACGACGUUGAUAGGCCGGGUGUGUAAGCGCAGCGAUGCGUUGAGCUAACCGGUACUAAUGAACCGUGAGGCUUAACCUU